AUUUCCAAAUGAGAGUUUCAUGAGUCCAUUGCGAUAAUUGAUUAGGGUAUAGGUAGUCACUAAGAAUGAUCUUCCCAAGAUUACUGGGAUGUGACCUUUUAGAUUAAUCACUGGUUCAGUCUCGAGGAUCACAAAAUUUAUAAGAUAAAUGAAAUUACUUACCUUGAUUAACACAUCUUCCACAACUCUUUUAGGGACUGUUGGGUAUAAAAUAACCCCAGCCAAAAUUUGUAAAAGGCCAACCCUCCCAGGAC
Molecule: long non-coding RNA, 254 nt
Filed under: Elaeis guineensis (African oil palm)
Lineage: Eukaryota; Viridiplantae; Streptophyta; Magnoliopsida; Arecales; Arecaceae
Description: long non-coding RNA (EGUI_LNC062009)
Source: RNAcentral